CGGUACGGGUGAGUAACACGUGGGUAAUCUACCUCUUAGUGAGGAAUAACCCUGGGAAACCGGGGCUAAUACCGCAUAAGCCUGAGAAGGGAAAGCUUUUCUAUGAAAGUAGGGAGGCGCUGAGAGAGGAGCCCGCGGCCGAUUAGCUAGUUGGUGAGGUAAAAGCCCACCAAGGCAUAGAUCGGUAGCCGGCCUGAGAGGGCACACGGCCACACUGGCACUGAGACACGGGCCAG
This 236-nucleotide ribosomal RNA is filed under the name uncultured bacterium. RNAcentral describes it as "partial 16S ribosomal RNA". It matches the Rfam family "Bacterial small subunit ribosomal RNA", at positions 100 to 334 of the family's 1533-position model. The record is from RNAcentral.